CAGCCGGGUAACCGGUGGGUGGCGAGUGGCGGACGGGUGAGUAACACGUAGGAAUCUGCCCAAUCGUGGGGGAUAACCCGGGGAAACUCGGGCUAAUACCGCAUACGCUCCAUGGAGGAAAGCGGGGGACCUUCGGGCCUCGCGCGAUUGGAUGAGCCUGCGUCCGAUUAGCUGGUUGGUAGGGUAAUGGCCUACCAAGGYGACGAUCGGUAGCUGGUCUGAGAGGACGAUCAGCCACACUGGAACUGAGACACGGUCCAGACUCCUACGGGAGGCAGCAGUGGGGAAUAUUGGACAAUGGGCGCAAGCCUGAUCCAGCAAUGCCGCGUGUGUGAAGAAGGCCUGCGGGUUGUAAAGCACUUUAAGCAGGGAAGAAGGGGCGAAGGCGAAUAGCCUUUUGUCAUUGACGUUACCUGCAGAAUAAGCACCGGCUAACUCCGUGCCAGCAGCCGCGGUAAUACGGAGGGUGCGAGCGUUAAUCGGAAUUACUGGGCGUAAAGCGCGCGUAGGCGGUAGGCUAAGUCCCUUGUGAAAGCCCUGGGCUCAACCUGGGAACGGCAGGGGAAACUGGUCGGCUAGAGUGUGGUAGAGGGUGGCGGAAUUUCCGGUGUAGCAGUGAAAUGCGUAGAGAUCGGAAGGAACACCAGUGGCGAAGGCGGCC
This 661-nucleotide ribosomal RNA is filed under the name uncultured bacterium. RNAcentral's name for it is "bacterial SSU rRNA". It matches the Rfam family "Bacterial small subunit ribosomal RNA", at positions 72 to 726 of the family's 1533-position model. The record is from RNAcentral.